UAGGGAAUCUUCGGCAAUGGACGAAAGUCUGACCGAGCAACGCCGCGUGAGUGAAGAAGGUUUUCGGAUCGUAAAACUCUGUUGUUAGAGAAGAACAAGGACGUUAGUAACUGAACGUCCCCUGACGGUAUCUAACCAGAAAGCCACGGCUAACUACGUGCCAGCAGCCGCGGUAAUACGUAGGUGUCAAGCGUUGUCCGGAUUUAUUGGGCGUAAAGCGAGCGCAGGCGGUUUCUUAAGUCUGAUGUGAAAGCCCCCGGCUCAACCGGGGAGGGUCAUUGGAAACUGGGCGACUUGAGUGCAGAAGAGGAGGGUGGAAUUCCAUGUGUAGCGGUAAAAUGCGUAAAUAUAUGGGGAAACACCAGUGGCGAAGGCGGCUCACUGGUCUGUAACUGACGCUGAGGCUCGAAAGCGUGGGGAGCAAACAGG
This 429-nucleotide ribosomal RNA is filed under the name Gemmatimonadota bacterium. RNAcentral describes it as "Gemmatimonadetes bacterium partial 16S ribosomal RNA". It matches the Rfam family "Bacterial small subunit ribosomal RNA", at positions 355 to 776 of the family's 1533-position model. Lineage: Bacteria; Pseudomonadati; Gemmatimonadota. The record is from RNAcentral.